UUUCCCUCAGGAUAGCUGGCACUCGCUUGAGCGAGUCUCAUCUGGUAAAGCGAAUGAUUAGAGGCCUUGGGGCCGAAACGACCUCAACCUAUUCUCAAACUUUAAAUGGGUGAGAUCUCUGGCUUGCUUGAACGUUGAAGCCACGAGAUAUAUUUUUUAUAUAAUGGAUCAGAGUGCCAAGUGGGCCAAUUUUGGUAAGCAGAACUGGCGCUGUGGGA
RNAcentral lists this ribosomal RNA (218 nucleotides) under Coccobius sp. D2702. RNAcentral describes it as "partial 28S ribosomal RNA". It matches the Rfam family "Eukaryotic large subunit ribosomal RNA", at positions 967 to 1163 of the family's 3401-position model. The record is from RNAcentral. Lineage: Eukaryota; Metazoa; Arthropoda; Insecta; Hymenoptera; Aphelinidae.